Molecule: ribosomal RNA, 253 nt
Filed under: uncultured bacterium
Lineage: Bacteria
Description: partial 16S ribosomal RNA
Rfam family: Bacterial small subunit ribosomal RNA
Source: RNAcentral
UACGAAGGGGGCUAGCGUUGCUCGGGAUCACUGGGCGUAAAGCGCACGUAGGCGGAUUGUUAAGUCAGGGGUGAAAUCCUGGAGCUCAACUCCAGAACUGCCUUUGAUACUGGCGAUCUCGAGUCCGGGAGAGGUGAGUGGAACUGCGAGUGUAGAGGUGAAAUUCGUAGAUAUUCGCAAGAACACCAGUGGCGAAGGCGGCUCACUGGCCCGGUACUGACGCUGAGGUGCGAAAGCGUGGGGAGCAAACAGG